AGUUGAGACUUCUCCAAGGGCCAUGGGGUUGACAUCUGUAUUCUCAGGGUCCUCGUAAGAACUUCCAUUUUAUGUUCUUGUCUUCUCAUCAGUUUGAGUUGUGUCUUUAACAUUGGAGAGAAAAACAACUUGCAAGAUUUUCUUUCAGUAUGAACCAUUCUGAGGUCCUUCAAUUCUUUAGCUGAUUACCAACUCCUACCACUGUUAACCCUCAUCCAGGAACAAGCUUAUGUCUUUAACAUUCUGAGUGGGCUUCAGCAUCCUUGCAUAUGUUCAAUUCUUAAAAACCUGUUGAAAUAAAAGAUCAGGAGACAUAGGAAGGAUGCCAGAAGAGAGCGUGGCCUCACGUGUACCAGCUCUCUGCUCUCCUUUGCCUUGGGACGUUCCAUCCCUGGAAGUUUCCCUGCCCACAUCUUUGUAGAGAGUCCAUUCUCCAAGCUUCAGUGUGUCAUCUGUGAGGACCGUGACCCACCUGGUACAUCGCCUCAGGGCAUUCAUUUCAGGCUCCUUCUAAAUGGCCAAGGCACCCUUGGAAAUGCAAUGCUACAUCUCAAUGGGAUUUUCCAGUACAAAGAUUCUUUUCAAAUAACAUAAUUGUGGAUACACACCACUCCUACAGUGGUAAACCUCAGGUUCUCCUCCUGCCUUUUGCUAAGUAUAUGUCUUGAUGACAAGCCUUCUGCUGAUGAGCUGUGUUUCUGGACCGAUCAUGGUAGAAGUCAAUUAACGUGUCCCUCACUUGGGGUUUCUCAAGGCUGCACUGAUGAGGAAACUGAAACAGAAAAUCCAGAGUAAAUUCCACCAGGCCACACAGCAAGGUCUGAUAGAGCCAGGAGAGACUUUAUGAAAUCCAGACUCUCACACUAAUGCUCUAUCAGCUAGACCUCCAUGUGAGUCUCCCCAAUGUAGGUAGGAAGUGCUUUCCC
Molecule: long non-coding RNA, 926 nt
Filed under: Homo sapiens (human)
Lineage: Eukaryota; Metazoa; Chordata; Mammalia; Primates; Hominidae
Description: testis expressed 41
Source: RNAcentral